This 276-nucleotide ribosomal RNA is filed under the name [Lactobacillus] rogosae. RNAcentral describes it as "Lactobacillus rogosae partial 16S ribosomal RNA". It matches the Rfam family "Bacterial small subunit ribosomal RNA", at positions 502 to 776 of the family's 1533-position model. Lineage: Bacteria; Bacillati; Bacillota; Clostridia; Lachnospirales; Lachnospiraceae. The record is from RNAcentral.
UAUGGUAAUUGCCGCCGCGGUAAUACGUAUGGAGCAAGCGUUAUCCGGAUUUACUGGGUGUAAAGGGAGUGUAGGUGGCCAGGCAAGUCAGAAGUGAAAGCCCGGGGCUCAACCCCGGGACUGCUUUUGAAACUGCAGGGCUAGAGUGCAGGAGGGGCAAGUGGAAUUCCUAGUGUAGCGGUGAAAUGCGUAGAUAUUAGGAGGAACACCAGUGGCGAAGGCGGCUUGCUGGACUGUAACUGACACUGAGGCUCGAAAGCGUGGGGAGCAAACAGG